GAGGGAGUCCCUCCCUCUAAAAGCACUCUGUGUGGGGAACAUGAGAGCCAGACCAAAGCUCAGAGGAACCCACCAGGAACUAAACGCAAACCUGAACCUGGACCCAGCUGUGUGUCCUGUAAGAGUGACCAGUCUAAAGAUGUCAUCAUUUAUUUUAAAGUGUCUGCUGCAGAGAGACUGACUGAAGUCCACAAGAAGAUGAUGAUGGAGGAAGAAGAGGACAGAGCAGAGUCUGC
This is a long non-coding RNA of Oreochromis aureus, 236 nucleotides long. RefSeq lists it as uncharacterized. NCBI's taxonomy places the organism in Eukaryota, Metazoa, Chordata, Actinopteri, Cichliformes, Cichlidae. The record is from RefSeq and is a predicted model, not a curated record. The transcript has 3 exons.